GUGGCUGAAGGGGUGGGGGUCUGGGACUCUGCAGUCUUCUCUGAUUCUUUCUCUGUGGAAUAGUGGGAUGAUUCUUCUGAUUUUCCACUGUCCUUGGCUUUGGCUUCCUCUAGCAGAAUUGUCAUGGCUUUCAUAGCUGCAUCCUGCUUGGCCACUUUCUUGCUUCCAGCUUCAGCUGGGGGAAACUCUCGGCCAUUGAUGACAACCUGGAAU
Molecule: long non-coding RNA, 213 nt
Filed under: Homo sapiens (human)
Lineage: Eukaryota; Metazoa; Chordata; Mammalia; Primates; Hominidae
Description: LNC_000172
Source: RNAcentral